Molecule: transfer RNA, 84 nt
Filed under: Flavobacteriales bacterium
Lineage: Bacteria; Pseudomonadati; Bacteroidota; Flavobacteriia; Flavobacteriales
Description: tRNA-Leu
Rfam family: tRNA
About the family: Transfer RNA (tRNA) molecules are approximately 80 nucleotides in length. Their secondary structure includes four short double-helical elements and three loops (D, anti-codon, and T loops).
Source: RNAcentral
GCCCGGGUGGUGGAAUUGGUAGACACGUUGGACUUAAAAUCCAAUGAACAUUUGUUCGUACGGGUUCAAGUCCCGUCCCGGGUA